AACCCAUGGUGAGGGCACUUUCUCAAUAAAUCCUUACACCUCUCCCAUGCAUCGUAUAGGGUCUCUUAGUCCAUUUGCACAAAGAAAGAGAUAUCAUUCCUCAACUU
Molecule: small nucleolar RNA, 107 nt
Filed under: Gossypium hirsutum (cotton)
Lineage: Eukaryota; Viridiplantae; Streptophyta; Magnoliopsida; Malvales; Malvaceae
Description: Plant small nucleolar RNA R71
Rfam family: Plant small nucleolar RNA R71
About the family: R71 is a member of the C/D box family of snoRNAs containing the C (UGAUGA) and D (CUGA) box motifs.
Source: Rfam by way of RNAcentral